UGGCUUCAUUUUGGGCCAUAUAGAGUAAAAAUUGAACCACAUCUCAUGUGCAUGUCUAUGUAAAAAAACAAAAAAAAAAAAACAAAGGUCGGCACCCAUUGUAAGUGUCAUUUUCCUUUUUAUUUGUUCAUUUUGUAUUGUAUUUUCAUCUUAAAAUUCGCGGAAAUCAAUCGCAUGCCCUCGGUGAUGCAAGCUUAUGAUUGAAAAAUUGGCAAUCACUUUUGACAAGUGAGCAUUUGAAUGCAAGUUCUAAGCAUUUUGAUUUGGCCCUGUUGAACACAUAGUUUUGUUUAAACUUCUAGUUAUGGGCUCGAAAUCAUUUUGAAAAAAAAAAAAAAAAACUUUCAAGUUGUGAUUUUAUAUUUGGGCACAAAAAUUGAAAUUGCAUUUUUUUUAUCAAAUUUUCUCAUUCUCAUAUUUUGGGACUAUAAUGCAAAUCAUUUUGUGUACAAAUUCCUCAAAAUAGAAAUCACUUCAUUUUUCUAGGAGUAAAAUCACAAAUCAAUCUUUCAAAAAUCAAAG
RNAcentral lists this long non-coding RNA (522 nucleotides) under Eucalyptus grandis. RNAcentral describes it as "long non-coding RNA (EGRA_LNC007545)". The record is from RNAcentral. Lineage: Eukaryota; Viridiplantae; Streptophyta; Magnoliopsida; Myrtales; Myrtaceae.